GUCCCUGUAGCACAUUGGAUAGUGCGUUGGACUUCAAAUCAAAAGGUCGUGGGUUGGAAUCCCACUGGGGAUG
Molecule: non-coding RNA, 73 nt
Organism: Trichonephila clavata
Lineage: Eukaryota; Metazoa; Arthropoda; Arachnida; Araneae; Nephilidae
Source: the annotation of a GenBank genome assembly